Molecule: ribosomal RNA, 466 nt
Filed under: uncultured bacterium
Lineage: Bacteria
Description: bacterial SSU rRNA
Rfam family: Bacterial small subunit ribosomal RNA
Source: RNAcentral
CCUACGGGUCGCACCAGUGGGGAAUAUUGGACAAUGGGCGCAAGCCUGAUCCAGCCAUGCCGCGUGUGUGAAGAAGGCCUUUUGGUUGUAAAGCACUUUAAGCGAGGAGGAGGCUACUGAGAUUAAUACUCUUGGAUAGUGGACGUUACUCGCAGAAUAAGCACCGGCUAACUCUGUGCCAGCAGCCGCGGUAAUACAGAGGGUGCGAGCGUUAAUCGGAUUUACUGGGCGUAAAGCGUGCGUAGGCGGCUUUUUAAGUCGGAUGUGAAAUCCCUGAGCUUAACUUAGGAAUUGCAUUCGAUACUGGGAAGCUAGAGUAUGGGAGAGGAUGGUAGAAUUCCAGGUGUAGCGGUGAAAUGCGUAGAGAUCUGGAGGAAUACCGAUGGCGAAGGCAGCCAUCUGGCCUAAUACUGACGCUGAGGUACGAAAGCAUGGGGAGCAAACAGGAUUAGAUACCCCCGUAGUC